Molecule: long non-coding RNA, 1082 nt
Organism: Cotesia glomerata
Lineage: Eukaryota; Metazoa; Arthropoda; Insecta; Hymenoptera; Braconidae
Exons: 2
Source: RefSeq, a predicted model, not a curated record
CCAUUACCGGAAUCUGACACUUGGCAUCGAUUGAUUGACCUAUCAUUACUUGCCCACUCAUUGGAACUUUAUUAUGAUAAUAACGUGUCGUCAGUUGCUAUUGCUACUUGCAUAACCUCUCGGUGCAGUAACGAUCUGUUGGAUCUAGUAUGUAGUAAUUUACAUAUCCUUACUGCGGUUUGUUUACUCCCCAAAAGUUCAAACUUUUGAUGCCCCUUAUUAAAUCCGGUGAUAUAUAUUUGUAUUGUAUUGUAAAGUAAAAAUGUUUCAAUCAGUUCAAUUGAAACUAAACUUUUAUGAGGUAAAGUCGCGAGAAUGAACUUUGCGUUUCGCUAAUUGGUAAAAUUGCCGUCGGGGCAUCAUACUUUCAAUAUUGAUCUUUAGAGAUGCGGUCGUUAAAUUUUAUCUUUUAAAAAUCUUUCAUGAUAUGUUAUAUUAUGUUAUUGCUCAAUUGGCUUCGGCUAUAACUGAUAAUAUCGUAAUAUAAUAUAAGACAGUUGAGAGAUCACGAUAGAAGUCAUUACGGUACUUGGUCAAUCGAUAGCAUUUCAAAUGCCUUGGCAUAUUGGUUAAUUACCUCUUUUUGUUAGUUCUUCCGAGGUGUUGUUACGAUCUAAAUAUCAAGGCUUGAGUUAAAAUUACUAAAAAGCAGGACAAAGAUCCUCUCCUGACACAUGUUAAAGAUAAACGUUGUCUAAAUCUAGACCAGUGUGACUUUAAAUGCAGCUCUCGGCUUUCAUUCUCGGAUAAGAAGUGAAAUAUUCAAAAAUACCAGUACUUUAGACAUUCUAAGUCUCAGCUCGAUUCUUGAGUGUCACAUGCGCCAGAUAAGAGGGGAAAGUAAGGAGGGAUUACAAAUGUUCACGUGAAUCUCUCUACAUGGCUCUGCUCAGAAAGUACCAAGACAGAAGACAAUUUAUCGUUGAUAUUACCUCGAUAUUUUCAUAUUACAUUCUGCAAAAUAAAACAGCUACAAUUAUCCCUUGUCACGCUAGGUACAAUAACCUUUUAAAAUUCCUAUGUCUUAUUAUAUGUAUCAUAAUCACAAAGAAUAAAUGAAAAGUGACACGAUGAGGAAAUGA